Molecule: long non-coding RNA, 327 nt
Organism: Coregonus clupeaformis (lake whitefish)
Lineage: Eukaryota; Metazoa; Chordata; Actinopteri; Salmoniformes; Salmonidae
Exons: 5
Source: RefSeq, a predicted model, not a curated record
AUCCAGACUGCUCAGAGGUGGUUCAUGUGCCUGGGUCAGAAAGGCCAUUCAAAUUGGCAGAAUAUAAAAAGGAAAUAGGAAAGGCAUAUUCCAGGAUCACUUUUUUCAUUUGCCUAGAAAAACACUAUAAAAGAGUGGAUGAUACCUCAGACUCUGAUUCUGAAAUUGUCAUCACAACAAGGAGCACAGCUGAACUAAAUCGUGCUGACACUUUGGUUUUUGAACCACAAAAUCGAAGUACUCCCAAACACAAGCUGGACGAUGAAAGAGAUGCACCAGGACAAUCAACAAUUCAGCCUGGACAGAUAGUAAUAUCUGAUGCUGAGA